AAAAAGGGAUGAUUGUGUGUGUUACAUGCAUCAGCCACCACCAUUGACUAGUAUCAUUAAGAUGGCUAAUUCCUACUUAUCCUUGCUUGUCUUGAUCCUUGUAGCUCUGCUCCUCACCCCUCAAGGGCUUGCUGAUGAAUCUGAUUCUUACUAUAAGCCACCAGUUUACAAGAAACCACCAGUGUACAAGCCCAAGCCCAAGCCACCCAUUCACAAGCCCAAGCCACCCGUUUACAAGCCCAAGCCACCCGUUUACAAGAAACCCCCUUAUGGUAAGUACCCACCAGUUCAAGACAACGAUCACUUCUAAACCAUGCAACAAGGCAUGUUAAUGUUAACUAUCUACUAAAAUAAAGAGGUUCAGUUAACCUACUACGUACGUUGCUCCUUUUAAUUCCUAAAUCGUAAUUUACAACUUUGUAGGGAUGAGACAUUCUUGGCUAGCUCUGCACUUCAAUCCUUUAUUUGUACAAUGCUAUGGCCAAGUCAAUACCAUGCAUCUUAUCUAUGUGUGUCAUUGAACGAAGUAGUUGCGUGAAAAUGAUGCUUGUACUAUGAAUAAAUAAUAAAAGAACUUUAUCAUUUCAAGAUUGUGCUGUUUAGUUUAUUUGCUGAACCACCGUUACUGACCAUAAAUAAUACACAUGCAGGUCUUGUUUAGGAUAAACUUAAUUAUCCGUAACUUUUGAGAAAGAAUAUUCAAAAUUAAAAUAAAUUAAACUUUUC
This 726-nucleotide long non-coding RNA is filed under the name Glycine max (soybean). RNAcentral describes it as "long non-coding RNA (GMAX_LNC002463)". Lineage: Eukaryota; Viridiplantae; Streptophyta; Magnoliopsida; Fabales; Fabaceae. The record is from RNAcentral.